GCAGCACGGACUUCGGUCUGGUGGCGAGUGGCGAACGGGUGAUAAUGUAAUGGAACGUGCCUAGUAGCGGGGAUAACUACGCGAAGCGGGCUACUACCGCAAUACGCCCUUCGGGGGAAAGCGUGGGACCUUUCGCCUCGCACUAUUAGAGCGGCCGAUAUCGGAUUAGCUAGUUGGUGGGGUAACGGCUCACCAAGCGGACGAUCCGUAGCUGGUUUGAGGACGACCAGCCACACUGACUGAGACACGGCCCAGACUCCUACGGAGGCAGCAGUGGGAAUUUUGGACAAUGGGGAAACCCGAUCCAGCCAUCUCGCGUGCGAUGAAGGCCUUCGGGUUGUAAAGCACUUUUGGCAGGAAAGAAAUGGCACGGGAUAAUACCCUGUGCAACUGACGGUACCUGUACAAGCACCGGCUAACUACGUGCCAGCAGCCAUGGCAUGUAAAAAAAGUGUUAAUCGGAAUUACUGGGCGUAAAGCGUGCGCAGGCGGUUCGGAAAGAAAGAUGUGAAAUCCCCAGAGCUUAACUUUUGGAACUGCAUUUUUAACUACCGAGCUAGAGUGUGUCAGAGGGAGGUGGAAUUCCUGCGUGUAGCAGUGAAAAAUGCGUAGAUAUGCGGAGGAACACCGACAUGAAGGCAGCCUCCUGGGAUAACACUGACGCUCACGCACGAAAGCGUGGGGAGCAAACAGGAUUAGAUACCCUGCAGGUCCACGCCCUAAACGAUGUCAACUAGCUGUUGGGGCCUUCGCCUGGUAGCAGCUAACGUGAAGUUGACCGUCUGGGGAGUACGGUCGCAGAUUAAAACUCCAGGCGAAUUGACGGGGACCCGCACAAGCGGUGGAUGAUGUGGAUUAAUUCGAUGCAACGAAAAACCUUACCUACCCUUGACAUGUCUGGAAUCCCGAAGAGAUUUGGGAGUGUCAGCAAGAGAACCGGAACACAGGUGCUGCAUGGUUGUCGUCAGCUCGUGUCGUGAGAUGUUGGGUUAAGUCCCGCAACGAGCGCAACCCUUUGUCAUUAGCCGCUACGAAAGGGCACUCUAUCGAGAUUGCCGGUGACAAACCGGAGGAAGGUGGGGAUGACGUCAAGUCCUUCAUGGCUCCUAUGGGUAGGGAAGCCCCACACGUCAUACAAUGGUCGGGACAGAGUGGCCGCCAACCCGCGAGGGGGGAGCUAAUCCCAGAAACCCGAUCAGUCCGAUCGCAGUCUGCACCCGAUCGCGUGAAGUCGCAAUCGCUAGUAAUCGCGGAUCAGCAUGUCGCGGUGAAUACGUUCCCGGUUCGAAGACGCACUGCUCGCCGACUAAGGGAGUGGGUUUUACCAGAAGUAAAGUUAGCCUAACCGUAAGGGGAGGGCGAUUACCACGGUAGGAUUCAUGACUGGGGUGAAGUCAACACAGUAG
RNAcentral lists this ribosomal RNA (1406 nucleotides) under uncultured Bordetella sp. Its description in RNAcentral is "partial 16S-23S ribosomal RNA intergenic spacer". It matches the Rfam family "Bacterial small subunit ribosomal RNA". The record is from RNAcentral. Lineage: Bacteria; Pseudomonadati; Pseudomonadota; Betaproteobacteria; Burkholderiales; Alcaligenaceae.